GACGAACGCUGGCGGCGUGCUUAACACAUGCAAGUCGAACGAUGAAGCCGGAGCUUGCUCUGGUGAAUUAGUGGCGAACGGGUGAGUAACACGUGAGUAACCUGCCCUUGACUCUGGGAUAACUGCGGGAAACUGUAGCUAAUACCGGAUACGACCCUCGGAGGCAUCUCCUGGGGGUGGAAAGAAUUUCGGUCAAGGAUGGACUCGCGGCCUAUCAGCUAGUUGGUGAGGUAAAGGCUCACCAAGGCGACGACGGGUAGCCGGCCUGAGAGGGUGACCGGCCACACUGGGACUGAGACACGGCCCAGACUCCGACGGGGGGCAGCAGUGGGGAAUAUUGCACAAUGGGCGCAAGCCUGAUGCAGCAACGCCGCGUGAGGGAUGACGGCCUUCGGGUUGUAAACCCCUUUUAGCAGGGAAGAAGCGAAAGUGACGGUACCUGCAGAAAAAGCACCGGCUAACUACGUGCCAGCAGCCGCGGUAA
Molecule: ribosomal RNA, 484 nt
Filed under: uncultured bacterium
Lineage: Bacteria
Description: partial 16S ribosomal RNA
Rfam family: Bacterial small subunit ribosomal RNA
Source: RNAcentral